This is a long non-coding RNA of Peromyscus maniculatus bairdii (prairie deer mouse), 869 nucleotides long. RefSeq lists it as uncharacterized. The record is from RefSeq and is a predicted model, not a curated record. Lineage: Eukaryota; Metazoa; Chordata; Mammalia; Rodentia; Cricetidae.
CCCAAUUCCUUUCAAACUUUGGUGAGAAACUGUGCCACCCCUUCAAGGUCCAUACCUUCCCUUGGCAGGAGCUGGAUGCUGCUGCCGGUGACUGAGCUCCUGAACCACAAACUCCUGCUACCGUGAUAUUCUGUCUUAACAGCAAGCCCAGAAACAUGGGACCCAGAGAUCAUGGACAAGACUCUCUGAAAUACUGCAGACACAGGAUAUUUACUGCUAACGGGACAGGCGAGUCCUCUGUGGGGAAUGGAUCUCCUGACCUUGUUCCAGUGGAACGCAGAAGUCGGCAGGGUCUUGCUCUGUAGCCCAGGCUGGACCCAAAACUCUUGGGCAUGCGCCACUCUGCCUGGCUGGACAGUUUCCAUUUCUCCUGGGCUCUUACGGAUCCUACCCCAUUCCCUUCCGAUGAAGAGGCUGAGCACUCUAGUUACUGAUGGCGUCCAAGUCCUCCCUCACGGAGGAGGACCGUUUACCCAGCAGAAGCAGACGAGCAACGAGAGGGUGCUGGUGUGGUUCUGGCUCUUUCCUUGUCUGCUCGCAGGCGCGGGUUCCGGAACCUUCAAGGUCACCCAUCAGCUUCAGGCCCCUGUGUGAUCCCCUCUCCAAAUAACAGUCACUCAAGGGUCCCAUGUCACUGAACUCCAUUUCAAAUGGCAGCAAGAGGCCCAAAGGAAUACUCUUCUGGGCUGUUGUUUAUUUCAAACGGGGGUCAUUGUGGGUGGGGCCUGUCUCAGUCUCUGGGCACGGAGGCGGCUCAGUACUUUUCAAGGGCACCAGCGUUCAGUUAAAAGAAGUCACUUCACCCAGGUUUUUUUUUUUUUUUUUUAAGGACUUGGCAAAUAAACUGAAGUAAAUUCGUAAAUACAUGG